GAUGAACGCUGGCGGCGUGCCUAAUACAUGCAAGUCGAGCGAACAGACGAGGAGCUUGCUCCUCUGACGUUAGCGGCGGACGGGAGAGUAACACGUGGAUAACCUACCUAUAAGACUGGGAUAACUUCGGGAAACCGGAGCUAAUACCGGAUAAUAUAUUGAACCGCAUGGUUCAAUAGUGAAAGACGGUUUUGCUGUCACUUAUAGCUGGAUCCGCGCCGCAUUAGCUAGUUGGUAAGGUAACGGCUUACCAAGGCAACGAUGCGUAUCCGACCUGAGAGAGUGAUCGGCCACACUGGAACUGAGACACGGUCCAGACUCCUACGGGAGGCAGCAGUAGGGAAUCUUCCGCAAUGGGCGAAAGCCUGACGGAGCAACGCCGCGUGAGUGAUGAAGGUCUUCGGAUCGUAAAACUCUGUUAUUAGGGAAGAACAAAUGUGUAAGUAACUAUGCACGUCUUGACGGUACCUAAUCAGAAAGCCACGGCUAACUACGUG
This 497-nucleotide ribosomal RNA is filed under the name uncultured bacterium. Its description in RNAcentral is "partial 16S ribosomal RNA". It matches the Rfam family "Bacterial small subunit ribosomal RNA", at positions 28 to 507 of the family's 1533-position model. The record is from RNAcentral.